AUGACUUACCUCACCCCGUCUCCAUAUCUCACCCCCAACGCUCCAGAAUCCAACCCGACAUCUUAUCUGACCUUUGGACCCGGCGGGAACUCAGCCAGCCUGAUGACCUACUCCACCGGAGGCCACGCCUACUUCCAGUCCCAGAACACGGGACAAAUCCUGCUGCAGUCAGCUGGUCAUCACGGUGGAAUGGCAGCGUACCAGUCAUAUCCCUGGGGCAACAUGUACAGUCAGACAGCCAUCCAGCAGCAUGCUCCGUGCCCCCCCGCUUUCACGGCCAAUUUAGGAGGUGCUCGAGAACACCAGCCACCUGCCUCCACCACCCUGCCUCCCCUUUCAUUCUUCCCGCUGGGCGACCCCGUGCCGUCACUCGCCAACCCUCAGGGUCCAUCACACGCUCAGACUCACACCAGUAGUUGCACCACCACCACUUCUAGUGCCGCCCUCCCUCCUGUGUCAACGCUGCGGCCCCCUCGCCUCCGUGCGGAGAUCACCCCCACCACAGCUGCUUCUCUGCUGCCUUCCCAGACCAGCCCCGCUUCUCCAGAAAGCCCUCCAGUUCCCCCUUGUGUCAAGAUCGAGUAUGACAGCCCUCAAGAGAUUCAUAGCCACUUCCACUGCGAUUUCUCCUCUAUUCAUUUUUGACUGCACAUGUGUCUACGUGACCGUGUCUUUAAUAUGGCUGUAAAUAUGUCUGCUGUAAAUACAAGGAUAUUUCCCAUUUAUGUCAGUGAAGAUGUUCUCAGUCAGCAGGUGUGGCAGGAUGCCGGUCGCUUGGCAGCAGUAAAUACUGCCGUUAAUCCAUUAUUUAAGUUGAUUUGCACCACUUGAAAUCAGCAGUUGAACAUAUUGUUGCUUCAGGGACUGUUUUUAUUGAAGCAGCUUGACUUUGGAGCAUCUAAUUGCUGUGUAAUUCUCCAUCUACCUUUGAGUGAAAAAUUAGAAAAUAACACGGAGGAAAAGGAAUUGGGGAAAUGUAUAAUUUUCCCACGGCCAUUAAGAAUUUUGUUUAUGAACAUUUAAUAAAUGGCGUGUAAUACACUAGUAUAAAUGUAAGCCGAUGCGAGUGUUAAUUUAUUUGUAAAUAUCUGUAACUAUUCCAUAAGUGAAAAUUGUGAUGAUUCUGCCUGGUUUGACGUUUAUAGGCCCAAAAUUAGAAAUGCAUAAACACACAAGCACCUCACACAGAGCUCCAUGUGUUGUUUGAAAGCGUCGUGUUACAAAUAAAAGACUCAUAGACUCUGUGUGUUUAGGCCACAGGGGGGGCGCUGUUUCGUCGUUCCUGAAGCCCUUUCAUGCCGGGAUUUUAUUUUUUAGCCGGAUUUUCAGACAAAAGUACGAUGUCUAAACAGUCAGUGCAUAAAAAGUUGUAGUUGUGAAGUGGAAGAAUCUGAUAUAAUCACUGAAACAUCAGAAAUCCUUAAUCUGCAUUGCCAUCUGUUGUGUUCACACACUGCACUUUCUGCACUGUUUGGUCUUUGGAAGUCUGUUUGAACCUAAAUCCCACCUCUGAAACAGCUCCAGGCAUUUCCUAAGACUCUGGGACUAGCAUGAUAAUUUUUGUUGCCCCCUCACUAAAAUAAAUGCAAAAGUUUUCUGGCUCUGACUCUAGUUGGUAUUCCGGGAUCGCACUCCUGCCGUACGAGAAGUCUGAGGCGAAGCUCGGCUGAUGACGUGGGAGUUUUGAUGAGAGCGGAGAGGAGGCGGCGGGGACCAGGGGAGCACAUAAAGAAGUGUGUGUGUGUGGGGGGGGGGGUGGUGGAGAUAUGAAGCAGAAUGUUGGCCUGGGAACAAGGGAGGAGAGCUGAGAUGAGCUGUUGCUAUGGGAGGAGAAGAGGAUGAUGGGUGGGCUCUGCCAGCAGGCGUGGGAGGGGGAAGAAGAUGGGGAUGAGGGUUCUGGGACGAACAGAACUGUUGGUUAUGUAACGACUAUGUUUGGGUUUUUUAAUGAACCUCUUUCUGCCUGCUCACUGGCUACUGAGCUGUUACUGUUGGCAAGAGAAGUGCAGCAUAAACACAUACAAAUGACUCUCCCGCUGCAGAAUAUCUCCCCUAUUCACGGACAGAGGCAUGAGAUCUACAGCCUCUUUUUCUGAGUUGCGUUAAUUUUUCCUGGACAUUGCUGCAGUGAACAGAGGGCGUCUCAGAACACAGCUGCAGGACGCUCUGCGUGUGCGUCCGUGUGUGUGUGUUUCUGUGAGUAUAUCUCUAUGUGUGAGCACAAGGAUGGGAUGUUUCGGUUCAGUCCGAUUCCACCGUGUCAAUAUUUGCACAGUAUUCCAAGACUUAAAGAAAGAGAACUUGUUUGAAUAUUUAUGGAUGUGGUCAAACACAAAUUUUCAGUCUUUCUAAAACAUGUGACUGCUCUCUCUCUCUCUCUCUCUCUCCUCUCCUCUCCUCUCCUCUCCUCUCCUCUCCUCUCCUCUCUCUCUCUCACACACACACACGCACAUGCACGCACGCACAUGCACACAGACUGGACUGCUGAGACCCUCCAUUGAUAUCAGUUGAUAAAGUUUAUUGAUAUAGCCAAAGGGAUCCAAGCAGAAACAUGGUUUGGACAUCCUCCAGUCUUUCGGGUUUUCUGGUUCUGGACUCUUUCGGUUGUUGGUUUUUGGUUUGAUACAACAAAUAGAUCAGCGGGCUCAGGGGAGCUAGGGUGAAUGUCGGUGGAAACCAAAUGAUUUGAUAAAAAUUAAUAGGUGGUUAACCUUCAAAAUGUGAAAAUAAAAACAGAGCCGAUCUGAGCAAAUAUAUCUGGCCUAGGCAUGUUGAUAGUAAAUACACUUUUCCAUAAGUAGCAUCACCGAAUAUGGAACACUACCACAGAUCCAGGACUUGGUUUCCAUUUCUAUCUUGGUUCUGGGAAUAUCGUUGCCAAGGCGAUGUGCAAGCGGUGAAACAGUAUUUACGGGAAGAUUUCCUUUUUCUGGUAAAAACAAACAUUCUGCGUUGUUUUCUUCUGUCUCUUUUUCUGCUGAAUGAGAAAACAGACUAAGAAGGAAAUAAAUACUGUUCAUAAACAAACCUAUUGUUUCACAACUUUACCUGCACGUUUAGUUACAGUAACAGGAAUUAGGAAAAAACUAGGAUUUAAAUUGAUCAUUUAAAAGAUAAAUGUGAAAUAAAUGCGAUGAGAUCGAUGAUGAAUGACAGAUGGCAAUGCCUUCAUGUUGUGGAGUUACGAAAAACAGGUAAGUUUCAAACUGCUCAUGUUUGUUCAUCCUGCCUGCCAAAAUGUUACAUAACUUGUUUGUUUGUGAAGAAUCUUUGUGUAUGCCUGUUGACACUAGUGUGUGUGUGUGUGUGUCUGUGUGUGUGUGUGUGUGACAUACAUACACACACACAGAGUCAUCAGUAGGAAAUAUGUCCAGCUAGUUACCGUACAGCCUUCGUGCAGCUCCUCUUUCAUUCUUGACAACCUCCUCAAUUGCGGCUUGUUCGGAUCGUAAGUGUGUGUGGAUGUGGAAGAGGAGGAAGGGGGUGUUUGCAGGAAUGUGGGGUUGGGUUGGGCGGAACAGGCCGCCAGAGGAUAAAGACGGCCCUCUAUGCUGGUCUCUGGAGAGAUUAAAGCUGUAUAUGAGCGCAUUGAUGAAAGUGUGUUUUCCUACUGUGUUUACUCCUCUGGGGCCCUCUGCCUACCAGACGCUGAAGACGAGAGUGAUGGAAACGAGACGCAAGCGUCCGCAAUGAAUUUUUGCCUGUUUGUGCCGCUGCAUUCAGAAUCUCUGUUGAAAUUUAUGCGUCAAAUCAAGCUUGCAGCUUUAGAAUUGUACAUUGACUCAACGUGUGCUGACAGAGGCAGACGGAUCGAUCUGGAAUAUUCAGAUGGAAAAAACAAACCUUGGAAUAUGCUCACAUUAUCAAGUUGUACAAAAACACACACACACACACACACACACACGUACAUCCCAGAAUGCAUUGCAGGAACAGUGCUGGCUGUGUGUGACGGCUCCUUCACUUCCGCACCGUAAAUGUGUGUUUGCUAUACGAUGGAACACGCAGAGAAAAGAGGAAUUCAUGUCGGUGUUUAUUUGAGCUUUGGCCAAAUCCGACCUCAAGUGGUCAUGUUGGCGCACCCUCUGCACCAAACCCCAGCAGCUCCUGUACCCCCAGCCAGACACACACACGCACACACGUACUGUACACCCUCACAUAUUUGAGCACCACUCUCCCUCACACACACAACUACCUGUCCAUCUCAGCCAUAUCAAGGUGUGUUUGUGUUUCCACCAUUUUAGGUCCUCCCAGGGCAGGUAUUUCCCUCUCU
Long non-coding RNA from Takifugu rubripes (torafugu), 4270 nucleotides. The record is from Ensembl. Lineage: Eukaryota; Metazoa; Chordata; Actinopteri; Tetraodontiformes; Tetraodontidae.